Molecule: transfer RNA, 68 nt
Filed under: Rasbora einthovenii (brilliant rasbora)
Lineage: Eukaryota; Metazoa; Chordata; Actinopteri; Cypriniformes; Danionidae
Description: tRNA-Ala
Rfam family: tRNA
About the family: Transfer RNA (tRNA) molecules are approximately 80 nucleotides in length. Their secondary structure includes four short double-helical elements and three loops (D, anti-codon, and T loops).
Source: RNAcentral
UGGGCCUUAGUUUAGUUAAAGCGUUUGAUUUGCAAUUAAAAGAUAUGGAGUAAUGUCUGUAGGUCCCA